RNAcentral lists this ribosomal RNA (473 nucleotides) under uncultured Anaerolineaceae bacterium. RNAcentral's name for it is "bacterial SSU rRNA". It matches the Rfam family "Bacterial small subunit ribosomal RNA", at positions 897 to 1382 of the family's 1533-position model. The record is from RNAcentral. Lineage: Bacteria; Bacillati; Chloroflexota; Anaerolineae; Anaerolineales; Anaerolineaceae.
AAACUUAAAGGAAUUGACGGGGACCCGCACAAGCAGCGGAGCGUGUGGUUUAAUUCGAUGCUACACGAAGAACCUUACCAGGGUUUGACAUGCAAGUGGUAGGAAACUGAAAGGGGACCGACCCUUCGGGGAGCUUGCACAGGUGCUGCAUGGCUGUCGUCAGCUCGUGUCGUGAGAUGUUCGGUUAAGUCCGCUAACGAGCGCAACCCUCACUGUGUGUUAUAUGUGUCACACGGGACUGCCGGUUUUAAGCCGGAGGAAGGUGGGGAUGACGUCAAGUCAGCAUGGCCUUUAUAUCCUGGGCUACACACACGCUACAAUGGUCGGUACAAUAGGUUGCCAAGCCGCGAGGCGGAGCCAAUCCAUAAAAGCCGGCCUCAGUUCAGAUUGUAGGCUGCAACUCGCCUGCAUGAAGAUGGAGUUGCUAGUAACCGCAGGUCAGCAAUACUGCGGUGAAUACGUUCCCGGGUCUU